This 550-nucleotide ribosomal RNA is filed under the name uncultured Glomeromycotina. RNAcentral's name for it is "SSU rRNA". It matches the Rfam family "Eukaryotic small subunit ribosomal RNA", at positions 548 to 1098 of the family's 1831-position model. Lineage: Eukaryota; Fungi; Glomeromycota. The record is from RNAcentral.
UUGGAGGGCAAGUCUGGUGCCAGCAGCCGCGGUAAUUCCAGCUCCAAUAGCGUAUAUUAAAGUUGUUGCAGUUAAAAAGCUCGUAGUUGAAUUUCGGGAUCAAUACGUCGGUCAUGCUUUUUGGUACGAACUGGCGUCAUUGGUUUCUCCUUUCUGACGAACCAUGAUGUCAUUAAUUUGGUGUUAUGGGGAGUUGGGACCGUUACUUUGAAAAAAUUAGAGUGUUUAAAGCAGGCACAAGCUUGAAUACAUUAGCAUGGAAUAAUGAAAUAGGACGUUUGAUCCUAUUUUGUUGGUUUCUAGGAUCAACGUAAUGAUUAAUAGGGAUAGUUGGGGGCAUUAGUAUUCAAUUGUCAGAGGUGAAAUUCUUGGAUUUAUUGAAGACUAACUACUGCGAAAGCAUUUGCCAAGGAUGUUUUCAUUAAUCAAGAACGAAAGUUAGGGGAUCGAAGACGAUCAGAUACCGUCGUAGUCUUAACCAUAAACUAUGCCGACUAGGGAUCGGAUGAUGUUAAUUUUUUAAUGACUCAUUCGGCGCCUUACGGGAAAC